GAGUUUGAUCAUGGCUCAGAUUGAACGCUGGCGGCAUGCCUAACACAUGCAAGUCGAGCGAAGAAGCCCCUUCGGGGGUGGAUUAGCGGCGGACGGGUGAGUAACACGUGGGUAACCUACCUCAAAGAGGGGGAUAGCCUCCCGAAAGGGAGAUUAAUACCGCAUAAAAGGUGAAUACCGCAUGGUAAAUACCUUAAAGGAGAAAUCCGCUUUGAGAUGGGCCCGCGGCGCAUUAGCUAGUUGGAGGGAUAAAAGCCCCCCAAGGCGACGAUGCGUAGCCGACCUGAGAGGGUGAACGGCCACAUUGGAACUGAGAUACGGUCCAGACUCCUACGGGAGGCAGCAGUGGGGAAUAUGCACAAUGGGCAAAGCCUGAUGCAGCAACGCCGCGUGAGUG
This 397-nucleotide ribosomal RNA is filed under the name bacterium enrichment culture clone ALO1_GLFRUDD03GTNCV. Its description in RNAcentral is "bacterial SSU rRNA". It matches the Rfam family "Bacterial small subunit ribosomal RNA", at positions 9 to 407 of the family's 1533-position model. The record is from RNAcentral.